AUUGAACGCUGGCGGCAGGCCUAACACAUGCAAGUCGAACGAGUGGCGGACGGGUGAGUAAUGUCUGGGAAACUGCCUGAUGGAGGGGGAUAACUACUGGAAACGGUAGCUAAUACCGCAUACCAUCGGAUGUGCCCAGAUGGGAUUAGCUUGUUGGUGGGGUAACGGCUCACCAAGGCGACGAUCCCUAGCUGGUCUUAGAGGAUGACCAGCCCAACUGGAAACGCGACACGGGCCAGACUCCGACGGGAGGCAGGAGGGGGGAAUAUUGCACAAAGGGCGGAAGCCUGAUGCAGCCAUGGCGCGUGUAUGAAGAAGGCCUUCGGGUUGUAAAGUACUUUCAGCGGGGAGGCGUUACCCGCAGAAGAAGCACCGGCUAACUCCGUGGCAGCAGCCGCGGUAAUAC
Molecule: ribosomal RNA, 406 nt
Filed under: uncultured bacterium
Lineage: Bacteria
Description: partial 16S ribosomal RNA
Rfam family: Bacterial small subunit ribosomal RNA
Source: RNAcentral